Long non-coding RNA from Cyprinodon tularosa, 1199 nucleotides. RefSeq lists it as uncharacterized. The transcript has 3 exons. Lineage: Eukaryota; Metazoa; Chordata; Actinopteri; Cyprinodontiformes; Cyprinodontidae. The record is from RefSeq and is a predicted model, not a curated record.
UAUUUACUGUACACUUUCUUCCACCAACUUAUACACAAACACACACAUAUAUACCAUGCAUCCCACAAGCACACACAAGACAACACUCAAGACCCCUCCCCACCCCAUGCUCAUUGGUCAAAAGUUUCGUCACAAAGACAACAGCUGUUUCCAGGAUGAAGAAGCUACUUUGAGGGUGCCAGCCAGUCUGCAGGCCUGCAACUGGAGACUCCCUUGGGUCUUUCGUGGUCUUCAAAGGGCACACUAAUAUACAUGCACACUUUAACUCUCUGGCAGCAAAACACUACCAGCUCCAUCUAGAGAUACAGACCAUUUGUCCCCUAUAUUAACACUGUGAUCUGUUCUCUGGAAAGAAUCCCAGAACAACUUCUUUACCCUUACCAACAAAGACAUGAUGAAUUUUUCCACAACAAAGGGUGCCAACAUGUCACAGAAGAGGUGAAGGCCCCUCUCCUCCUCUCAUUAUCCUGUGCAGAUGUUCAGUCUGAGGCCACUGGAGUAUCAGGUUACCACAAAUCUAACCGAUAUCAAAACUUAGUUUGGGGAAGCCUAAGCCCCAUUGCAAUCUUAGGUUACAGCCUUUUAUUAGUCCGGCUGACUUUUGGUAGCCGCUUUUAGCAGGAAACUUCCCUGCCUUCUUUUCAAAAGAGGUCCAAAUGAUCUACAAAAUUAAAGUGUGCUUUGUUGUACCAAUUAUUUUUAGUUUUCUUAUCAGUUUGACACUAAAGUAAAAUGAAUCAGGCUCAGUAAUCCUGUAUGUCUGAGUGAUAAAAACCAUUCCAGCAGAGGAGGAAAACAAUAGCUGUGAUAAGCAAACAGUGAGUUUGAAAUGGGAAAAUGAUCCAUGGUAGGGUAUUACAAUGCAGCUGAGAGGAAUUGGAAGCUUAAGGAAAGGAUGUGAUGGUAAUGAAUUUAAACCAGCAUAAUCCCUCCCAUCUGGGUCUAGAAAUUGUUUGAUAUUUAUGGUUGUAGACCUACACCACUAGGUAUGACAUUUUCUUACUUGGAAAUAUAAAAGAGAAAACUUUCACAGGGCUGUAAUUUGUUUUGUUCUCAUUUUGUUUUUAGUUUUAACCCUAGAUCCCUUUCAUAGCUCUCAGUGAGCUUAUGUGUAAAUUAGGUUAAUACCAAGACUGAAGUGUUGCACAUAGUUUGCAUGUCUGAAGUGGGAUUAAAGUGUUUGCAGAUCCAAUUCCAUA